AUGAGCCAUGAUCGAGGUACUGCACUUCAGCUUGGGCAACAGAGCAAGACCUUGCGUCUAAAAAAGAAACAAAGAUAUUUUUCUCCUUUAGGAUGCGAUGAGGUCACACACCCUCCACUGUACUACCCCUCCAUGGGUGUCUCACUUGUGGCUCCAAGACCCAGCCCCUCCCCAAAAGACAAACAAACCAACCAGCUCACCAUGGCCAUCCCCUCAGGAGUCCCCAGGGAGAUGUCUGAGUGCCACUGGGGAUCUCAUGGUCUACAUGGGUUUCAUCCGCAUCUGUGUUCCCAGUGUCCAGCACAGAGCAAGUCCCAUUGCAGCCUGGCCCCUGCCUCUGGAAACAAACCUCUCUAAGGGUCUUGGACUGAGCAGCUGAUCCCAUCAAGGAUGGAGCUGGCACCCAGAGUUUUCACUUUGUGAGGAUCUCUUGGAGCAGGAAAAGUCUUUGGUUCAAUAAGGAAGGGAGUUCAAAUAGUGGAAGCCGGUGGGGGAAGCUCUGUGAGCUGGGGACCUUCCGAAGGUGAGCAUCUGUGAUCAGCUGUGAUUCUAUCACGCCUGAACCAACCCCUUUCAUAAACACCGGUGGUCAUUAUGCACUGGAUAAAAUCCUUGCCUUUCAGUCAUUUUCAAGCCUUGGUGAUCUAGCCCACCUGCCUUCAUUCAUUCACUCCACGAACGUGCCCCAGGUCCCCAUCUCCACAUCUGUACGCGGGCUGGUCCCUGGACCUGUGACACCUUCCCUCACUCUUACCUACAUUACUCACCAGCCCUUCAUGUUAGAAACCAUCUGUGCCCCUCCAGAACUUGGUCCACAGUUGUUUAUGCUUGUGCCUUAGCUUCCCCAUGGGCUCUGGGCAUGUGUAGAAAGGGUCCACAACUGAGUCAUCCUGAGGACACUCAGGCAGAGCCUUGCCUCUCGCUUUGCACAGCACCAUGGCUCAGCGUCUUCUUGUAAUGAAUAAGGGACUGAGCUUCUCUACACUCCAGUCAUUCCCAGCUCAGAACAGUCCAAGUGCACUGAAGGAUGGAAAGUUGGGAGCACACUUCUCCCACAGGCUCUCCAAAGGGAUUUGAGAGUUCCUUUGGGGAUGCCGUACUUUCUUCAUUGCCACACAGGCAUGGGGCAGCUGUUUGCAUGUCUAUUUGGCAUCCUAAGUACACAAAGAUGGUUUGUCUAUUUCCCAUCUGCUAACCUGCUUGGAUGACCUCCUCCUCAGCACAGCACACAAGAGCACUAAAGUGCCCCAGGGAUGCUGCAGGCAAUGUCUAUACCCCAUUUCCUUCUAGAAACCAGCCCAGGUCAUGCAGCAAUAGAGCAAGCCAAAUGCAAAUGGCCACCUCCUGGGUCCAUCCAUUGUCCUUUCUGGCCUAGAUCCUGCCUCAGUGAUAUAGAAAAAAAGAUGAAGGUGAUCUGGAAGAGGAAGCCUUGAGAUGCUGUCAAAGGAAAAAGAUCCAGGGUAGAAGUAGGGGAGAAGACUGGCAUGUGGGCAACAAACCCCGUCUUCUAAAAAGACCUGUGCCCUUGAAGAAGGGAGAGAGGCCUGGAAGAAAGUCCUGGAGCUCCACCAACUCCAACACCAGUGUGCGCCUACUGCAAAUGCAGGCCAAGGGUUAUUAUUCCCACUUACAGAUGAGAAAACUUAGAUCAUGCUACGGUCUGAAUGCUGGUGUCCCUCCAAUAUUCACAUGUUGGAACUUGAUCCCCAAUGUGAUAGUAUUAAGAGGUGGGGCCUUUUGGAAGUAAUCAAGUCCUGAAGGCUCUGCCCUUAUGAACGGGAUUAUGCCCUUAUAAAAGAGGCUCAAGUGAGCUCCCUGACCUCUUCUGCCACAUGAGAACACAGCAACAAGACGCCAUCUAUGGAGCAGAGGGCAAACCCUUACCGGACACCACAUCUGCUGGGGCCUUGAUCUUGGACUUCCCAGCUUUCAGAACUGCAAGCAAAAAAAUUCUGUUGUUUAUAAAUUACCCAAUCUAAAUUAUUUUGUUGUCCUGGCAGGAAAGGGAUGACAGGUCAGUGCCACAUAACUCACCCAAUCAGAGUGGGCAGGGUGAGGUCUUCUGAUUCCAAGGCCAGAGCCAAGGGGACUAGUUUGUGGGUGAUCCUGGGAAAAAGUGCUAUUUGCUCAUCCAGGAAAUACAGAUUAAAACCUCAGUACAACACACACCCUCAGCAUGGCUAUAAUGAGUAAGAGAGAUUUUUAAAAUUUGGUGUAGGUGAGGAUGUGCAGCAACUGUAACUGCUUUACAUGGCUGGUAAGUAUUCAAACUGGUAUAUCAACACUUUGCGAAAGCAUCUAAUGACUCCUACCAAAGCUAACCAUAUGCAGACCCUAUAACCCAGCAAUUACAUUCCUAGGCAUUCUGGGUACUAGGAUUUUCAUAGCAUUAACUAUAAAGCCAGAAGGCUGGAAAUACCCAAAUACCCAUCAAAAACAUAGGGUUAUUUUUGUUUUGUUUUAUUUUGUUUUUUUGUUUUUUUUUGUUUUGUUUUGUUUGAGACAGAGUCUCGUUCUGUCGCCAGGCUGGAGUGCGGUGGUGCCAUCUCGGCUCACUGCAACCUCCGACUCCCUGGUUCAAGUGAUUCUCCUGCCUCAGCCUCCCAAGUAGCUGGGACUACAGGCACGCACCACCAUGCCCAGUUAAUUUUUGUAUUUUUAGUAGAGACAGGGUUUCACCAUGUCGGCCAGGAUGGUCUUGAUCUCCUGACCUCGUGAUCUACCUGCCUCGGCCUCCCAAAGUGCUGGGAUUACAGGUGUGAGCCACUGACCCUGGCCAGAAAAACAUA
RNAcentral lists this long non-coding RNA (2789 nucleotides) under Macaca mulatta (Rhesus monkey). Its description in RNAcentral is "lncRNA (ENSMMUG00000054248.1)". Lineage: Eukaryota; Metazoa; Chordata; Mammalia; Primates; Cercopithecidae. The record is from RNAcentral.